Molecule: ribosomal RNA, 425 nt
Filed under: uncultured bacterium
Lineage: Bacteria
Description: partial 16S ribosomal RNA
Rfam family: Bacterial small subunit ribosomal RNA
Source: RNAcentral
GUGGGGAAUAUUGGGCAAUGGGCGAAAGCCUGACCCAGCAACGCCGCGUGAAGGAAGAAGGUCUUCGGAUCGUAAACUUCUAUCCUUGGUGAAGAUAAUGACGGUAGCCGAGAAGGAAGCCCCGGCUAACUACGUGCCAGCAGCCGCGGUAAGACGUAGGGGGCGAGCGUUGUCCGGAAUUACUGGGCGUAAAGAGCACGUAGGCGGGAACUUAAGUCAGGUGUGAAAGACCGGGGCUCAACUCCGGGGUUGCACUUGAAACUGGGUUUCUUGAGGGCAGGAGAGGAAAGCAGAAUUCCUGGUGUAGCGGUGAAAUGCAUAGAUAUUAGGAGGAACACCAGUGGCGAAGGCGGCUUUCUGGACUGUAACUGACACUGAGGCACGAAAGCGUGGGGAGCAAACAGGAUUAGAUACCCUAGUAGUCC